RNAcentral lists this ribosomal RNA (875 nucleotides) under Escherichia coli. Its description in RNAcentral is "partial 23S ribosomal RNA". It matches the Rfam family "Bacterial large subunit ribosomal RNA", at positions 417 to 1293 of the family's 2925-position model. The record is from RNAcentral. Lineage: Bacteria; Pseudomonadati; Pseudomonadota; Gammaproteobacteria; Enterobacterales; Enterobacteriaceae.
GCGGGACACGUGGUAUCCUGUCUGAAUAUGGGGGGACCAUCCUCCAAGGCUAAAUACUCCUGACUGACCGAUAGUGAACCAGUACCGUGAGGGAAAGGCGAAAAGAACCCCGGCGAGGGGAGUGAAAAAGAACCUGAAACCGUGUACGUACAAGCAGUGGGAGCCUCUUAAUGGGGUGACUGCGUACCUUUUGUAUAAUGGGUCAGCGACUUAUAUUCUGUAGCAAGGUUAACCGAAUAGGGGAGCCGAAGGGAAACCGAGUCUUAACUGGGCGUUAAGUUGCAGGGUAUAGACCCGAAACCCGGUGAUCUAGCCAUGGGCAGGUUGAAGGUUGGGUAACACUAACUGGAGGACCGAACCGACUAAUGUUGAAAAAUUAGCGGAUGACUUGUGGCUGGGGGUGAAAGGCCAAUCAAACCGGGAGAUAGCUGGUUCUCCCCGAAAGCUAUUUAGGUAGCGCCUCGUGAAUUCAUCUCCGGGGGUAGAGCACUGUUUCGGCAAGGGGGUCAUCCCGACUUACCAACCCGAUGCAAACUGCGAAUACCGGAGAAUGUUAUCACGGGAGACACACGGCGGGUGCUAACGUCCGUCGUGAAGAGGGAAACAACCCAGACCGCCAGCUAAGGUCCCAAAGUCAUGGUUAAGUGGGAAACGAUGUGGGAAGGCCCAGACAGCCAGGAUGUUGGCUUAGAAGCAGCCAUCAUUUAAAGAAAGCGUAAUAGCUCACUGGUCGAGUCGGCCUGCGCGGAAGAUGUAACGGGGCUAAACCAUGCACCGAAGCUGCGGCAGCGACACUAUGUGUUGUUGGGUAGGGGAGCGUUCUGUAAGCCUGUGAAGGUGGCCUGUGAGGGGUGCUGGAGGUAUCAGAAGUGCGA